This 406-nucleotide ribosomal RNA is filed under the name uncultured bacterium. RNAcentral describes it as "partial 16S ribosomal RNA". It matches the Rfam family "Bacterial small subunit ribosomal RNA", at positions 30 to 526 of the family's 1533-position model. The record is from RNAcentral.
AUUGAACGCUGGCGGCAGGCCUAACACAUGCAAGUCGAGCGCGCCGCGGACGGGCGUGUAAUGUAUGGGUCUCUGCCCGAUAGAGGGGGCUCACUUCUGGACACGGUCGCUUAUACCGCAUACUCUCGGCUUCACCCAUAUGGGAUUAGCUAGGAGGUGGGGUAAAGGCUCACAUAGGCGACGCUCUCUAGCUGGUCUGAGAGGAUGAUCAGCCACACUGGGACUGAGACACGGCCCAGACUCCUACGGGAGGCAGCAGUGGGGAAGAUUGCACAAUGGGCGAAAGCCUGAUGCAGCCAUGCGGCGUGUAUGAAGAAGGCCUUAGGGUUGUAAAGUACUUUCAGCGGGGAGGCGUUACCCGCAGAAGAAGCACCGGCUAACUCCGUGCCAGCCGCCGCGGUAAUAC